AUUGAACGCUGGCGGAAUGCUUUACACAUGCAAGUCGAACGGCAGCACGGACUUCGGUCUGGUGGCGAGUGGCGAACGGGUGAGUAAUGUAUCGGAACGUGCCCAGUCGUGGGGGAUAACGUAGUGAAAAUUACGCUAAUACCGCAUACGAUCUAUGGAUGAAAGCGGGGGAUCGCAAGACCUCGCGCGAUUGGAGCGGCCGAUAUCAGAUUAGGUAGUUGGUGGGGUAAAGGCCCACCAAGCCAAAGAUCUGUAGCUGGUCUGAGAGGACGACCAGCCACACUGGAACUGAGACACGGUCCAGACUCCUACGGGAGGCAGCAGUGGGGAAUUUUGGACAAUGGGCGAAAGCCUGAUCCAGCCAUUCCGCGUGCAGGAUGAAGGCCCUCGGGUUGUAACUGCUUUUGUACAGAACGAAAAGGUUUCUACUAAUACUAGGAGCUCAUGACGGUACUGUAAGAAUAAGCACCGGCUAACUACGUGCCAGCAGCCGCCGUAA
Molecule: ribosomal RNA, 499 nt
Filed under: uncultured bacterium
Lineage: Bacteria
Description: partial 16S ribosomal RNA
Rfam family: Bacterial small subunit ribosomal RNA
Source: RNAcentral